RNAcentral lists this long non-coding RNA (544 nucleotides) under Arabidopsis lyrata. RNAcentral's name for it is "long non-coding RNA (ALYR_LNC000560)". The record is from RNAcentral. Lineage: Eukaryota; Viridiplantae; Streptophyta; Magnoliopsida; Brassicales; Brassicaceae.
UAUAAUAACCUCUUCCCCUGAAGCCUUUCUUUAAGUCUUUUCAUCUUCCUUCUUCCUUCUCCUUCUUCUUUGUUCAAACACAAAAGACCGACAAAAGCCUCUGUCUUAGACAAAGAUAAAGAAACAGAACAACACAAUACAGAUUACAGAGAAAGAGCAAUGGCUAUUACACAAAUACUUGUCCUCUUUGCUUCUGCAUUACUCCUAUCAAUGUUCUUCACUGGCGUCGAUUCCACAAGGUAUUGAAAUGUUUUGGAUCAAUGUUUUUAUGUGAUCUGGUUCAUGGAAAUAGAGCAUUAACUUCUCAAAUCUAUGUUCAAACAAGAGAACCCUUUUUCUUGAUUUGAAUUACUUGAUCAUGAUUAUUUGGAUUUGGUAUUAAAGAUCUAGAAUUGGAAGGAAUUCUUUUUAUAUUCUAUUGAUUAUGUACAGAUCCAUUUGCUUAAACACCGGUGUGUUAUUAGAGAGUAUUGAAUGAUGAUGCAACAUUUCAAUGAUUGUAGUGUAAGUAGUGAUUAAGCAAGGUUUAGUAAAUUGAAUUGUU